RNAcentral lists this ribosomal RNA (1692 nucleotides) under Puntigrus partipentazona. RNAcentral's name for it is "16S rRNA". The stretch from base 95 to 1580 matches the Rfam family "Bacterial large subunit ribosomal RNA". The record is from RNAcentral. Lineage: Eukaryota; Metazoa; Chordata; Actinopteri; Cypriniformes; Cyprinidae.
GCCAAACAGCUAGCUUAACCACUUUCUUAACUUUUAACUAUAAAUAAAAUAAAACAAAUUUAUUUUAUAAACUAAAACAUUCUAUCACCUUAGUAUGGGAGACAAAAAAGGUUCAUCACAAAGCAAUAGAUAUAGUACCGUAAGGGAAAGCUGAAAGAGAAAUGAAAUAAACCAUAUAAGCACUAAAAAGCAAAGACUAAACCUUGUACCUUUUGCAUCAUGAUUUAGCCAGUAUACUCAAGCAAAGAGAACUUUAGUUUGAAACCCCGAAACCAGGUGAGCUACCCCGAGACAGCCUAUUAGGGCCAACCCGUCUCUGUGGCAAAAGAGUGGGAAGAACUCCGGGUAGAAGUGACAGACCUACCGAACCUGGUGAUAGCUGGUUGCCUAAGAAAUGAAUAGAAGUUCAGCCUCAUAAACCUUUAGCCAAACAUUAAUAUAAUAAGACCAUAAAGUUACCUAUGAGAGUUAGUUAAAGGGGGUACAGCCCCUUUAACCAAGGACACAACCUUUAAAGGAGGAUAAAGAUCAUAAUAAUUAAAACACAUGUUCUAGUGGGCCUAAAAGCAGCCACCUAAACAGAAAGCGUCAAAGCUCAGACAAAAAGAAGUUUAUUAUUUUGAUAAUACAAAUCUCAUUCCCCUAUUACUAUUAGGCCAACCCAUGCCAACAUGGGAAAGAUUAUGCUAAAAUGAGUAACAAGAAGAACCACACCCUUCUCCUUAGCACAAGUGUAAACCAAACUGGAUUAACCAUUGGUAAUUAACGAACCCAAUCAAAGAGAGCAAUGUGAACUACCAAUAAAUUCAAGAAAAACUCACAACUAAAUUAUCGUUAACCCCACACUGGAGUGCCACUAAAGGAAAGACUUAAAGAUAAGGAAGGAACUCGGCAAACCCAAGCCUCGCCUGUUUACCAAAAACAUCGCCUCCUGCAACAAACCAAGUAUAAGAGGUCCAGCCUGCCCAGUGACCAAAAGUUUAACGGCCGCGGUAUCCUAACCGUGCAAAGGUAGCGCAAUCACUUGUCUUUUAAAUAAAGACCUGUAUGAAUGGCCAAACGAGGGCUUAACUGUCUCCCUUAUCAAGUCAGUAAAAUUGAUCUACCCGUGCAGAAGCGGGUAUAAAUAUACAAGACGAGAAGACCCUUUGGAGCUUAAGGUAAAAAUUCACCCACGUCAAGCAGCUCAACAUAAAAGCAGACUCCUUUUUAAACCUUGUGGAUAAUGAAAUAAUACCUUCGGUUGGGGCGACCAUGGAGAAAAAGAAAACCUCCAAGUGGAAUGGGACCACCCCUAAAGCUAAGAGAGACAUCUCUAAGCCACAGAACAUCUGACCAUAAAUGAUCCGGCUAAUUAAUAGCCGAUCAACGAACCAAGUUACCCUAGGGAUAACAGCGCAAUCCUCUCCAAGAGACCAUAUCGACGAGAGGGUUUACGACCUCGAUGUUGGAUCAGGACAUCCUAAUGGUGCAGCCGCUAUUAAGGGUUCGUUUGUUCAACGAUUAAAGUCCUACGUGAUCUGAGUUCAGACCGGAGCAAUCCAGGUCAGUUUCUAUCUGUAACUCUACUUUUCCUAGUACGAAAGGACCGGAAAAGAGGGGCCCAUACCACCAGCAAGCCCCACCCUCAACUUAUGAAAACAAAUAAAUAGUAUUAAAGGGAGAACAAAGUCCCAACCAAGAUAAGGACAU